This 1439-nucleotide ribosomal RNA is filed under the name uncultured bacterium. RNAcentral describes it as "bacterial SSU rRNA". It matches the Rfam family "Bacterial small subunit ribosomal RNA". The record is from RNAcentral.
AGAGUUUGAUCAUGGCUCAGAACGUACGCUGGCGGCACGCCUAACACAUGCAAGUCGAACGAAGUAGCAAUACUUAGUGGCAGACGGGUGAGUAACAUGUGGGUAUCUGCCCUUUGGCCUGGAAUAACACGAGGAAACUUGUGCUAAUACCGGAUAAGUCUUUACAGAGAAAGCUUUAUGCACCAUUGGAUGAGCCCGCACUUGAUUAGUUUGUUGGUGGGGUAAUGGCCUACCAAGACUUUGAUCAAUAGCUGAUUUGAGAGGAUGAUCAGCCACAUUGGGACUGAGACACGGCCCAAACUCCUACGGGAGGCAGCAGUGGGGAAUCUUGCACAAUGGAGGAAACUCUGAUGCAGCGAUGCCGCGUGAGUGAAGAAGGCCCUUGGGUUGUAAAGCUCUUUCGUCGGGGAAGAAAAUGACUGUACCCGAAUAAGAAGGUCCGGCUAACUUCGUGCCAGCAGCCGCGGUAAUACGAAGGGACCUAGCGUAGUUCGGAAUUACUGGGCUUAAAGAGUUCGUAGGUGGUUGAAAAAGUUGGUGGUGAAAUCCCAGAGCUUAACUCUGGAACUGCCAUCAAAACUUUUCAGCUAGAGUUUGAUAGAGGAAAGCAGAAUUUCUAGUGUAGAGGUGAAAUUCGUAGAUAUUAGAAAGAAUACCAAUUGCGAAGGCAGCUUUCUGGAUCAUUACUGACACUGAGGAACGAAAGCAUGGGUAGCGAAGAGGAUUAGAUACCCUCGUAGUCCAUGCCGUAAACGAUGUGUGUUAGACGUUGGAAAUUUAUUUUCAGUGUCGCAGCGAAAGCGAUAAACACACCGCCUGGGGAGUACGACCGCAAGGUUAAAACUCAAAUGAAUUGACGGGGACCCGCACAAGUAGUGGAGCAUGUGGUUUAAUUCGAAGAUACGCGCAGAACCUUACCAACACUUGACAUGUUCGUCGCGACUUUAAGAGAUUAAAGUUUUCGGUUCGGCCGGACGAAACACAGGUGCUGCAUGGCUGUCGUCAGCUCGUGUCGUGAGAUGUUGGGUUAAGUCCCGCAACGAGCGCAACCCUCACUUUUAGUUGCCAUCAUUAAGUUGGGCACUCUGAAAGAACUGCCAGUGAUAAGCUGGAGGAAGGUGGGGAUGACGUCAAGUCCUCAUGGCCCUUACGUGUUGGGCUACACACGUGCUACAAUGGUAUCUACAACAGGAAGCGAAACAGCGAUGUUAAGCAAAUCCUUAAAAGAUACCUCAGUUCGGAUUGCACUCUGCAACUCGAGUGCAUGAAGCUGGAAUUACUAGUAAUCGUGGAUCAGCGUGCCACGGUGAAUGCGUUCCCGGGUCUUGUACACACCGCCCGUCACACCAUGGGAGUUGGUUCUACCUUAAGGCAAGGUUUAAUACCCUUGACCACGGUAUAGUCAGCGACUGGGGUGAAGUCAUAACAAGGUAGCCGUA